This 253-nucleotide ribosomal RNA is filed under the name uncultured bacterium. RNAcentral describes it as "partial 16S ribosomal RNA". It matches the Rfam family "Bacterial small subunit ribosomal RNA", at positions 524 to 776 of the family's 1533-position model. The record is from RNAcentral.
UACAGGGGGUGCAAACGUUGCUCGGAAUUAUUGGGCGUAAAGCGCGCGUAGGCGGCCGCUUAAGUCGGAUGUGAAAGCCCCUGGCUCAACUGGGGAAGUGCACCCGAAACUGAGUGGCUUGAGUACUAAAGAGGGUCGCGGAAUUCCCGGUGUAGAGGUGGAAUUCGUAGAUAUCGGGAGGAACACCGGUGGCGAAGGCGGCGACCUGGGUAGAUACUGACGCUGAGGCGCGAAAGCGUGGGGAGCAAACAGG